AUGGAUGUGAAUUUUGUUGGUAGGAUUAGUUUUGGAAACAACGCGUAUAGAGGGAAUUUUAAUCCUAGGCCUUAUCCUAGUAAUCCUUCUAAUAAUUAUGGAAAUUCCUUUAAUAACUCUUAUGGAAAUUUUAAUAAGAUGCCAUCUAAAUUUGAGAGUAGUGUUAAAGAGUUUAUGAAUUCGCAAAAGAAUUUUAAUGCUUUGCUUGAAGAGAAAUUGCUUAAAGUUGAUGAUUUGGCUAGGAACGUUGAUAGAAUUUCUCUCGAGAUUUAUUCUUUAAAGCUUAGAUCUAUUCCUCCUAAGCAUGAUAUCAAUGAGUCUCUCAAAGUUAUGAGAAUUUCCAUUGAUGAGUGCAAAGAAAGAACCGCUAGGAUGCGUGCUUCCAAAGAUGCCUUUAUUAAAGCGUGUUCUUCUAAUCCCUAUGAAAAUCAAGAUGAAGAUCUAAAAGUUAUUGAUGUGUCCCCCAUUAAAUCUUUGUUUUGCAAUAUGAAUCUUGAUGAAUCUGAAGAUUAUCUUCCUUUACCUAGAAGGCGUUCUAAGAAUUCUGAGUUUUUAGAUCUUGAUCAUGAAAUUGAUAAAAGUGGGAUUGAAAGAAAUAAAAAUCGAGAUGUUGCUAAACCCACUAUUUUGGAUCUGAAGGAAUUUAAUUAUGAAAAUUGCUCUUUAAUUGAUUGUAUUUCCUUGUUGCAAUCUGUGUUAAAUUCUCCUCAUGCUUAUAGUCAAAAUAAGGCCUUUACCGAACACAUUGUUGAUGCCUUAAUGCAAUCUUAUGAAGAAAAGCUUGAGUUGAAAGUUUCUAUCCCUAGAAAACUCCAUGAUGAGUGGGAACCUACUAUCAAAAUUAAAAUUAAAAAUUAUGAGUUUCAUGCCUUGUGUGAUCUGGGAGCUAGUGUCUCUACUAUUCCCAAAACUUUAUGUGAUUUGCUAGACUUUCGUGAUUUUGAUGAUUGCUCUCUAAACUUGCAUCUUGCGGAUUCCACUAUUAAAAAGCCUAUGGGAAGAAUUAAUGAUGUGCUUAUUGUUGCAAAUAGGAAUUAUGUGCCCGUAGAUUUUAUCGUUCUUGAUAUAGAUUGCAAUCCUUCAUGUCCUAUUAUUCUUGGUAGACCUUUCCUUAGAAUGAUUGGUGCAAUUAUUGAUAUGAAGGAAGGGAAUAUUAGAUUCCAAUUUCCCUUAAAGAAGGGCAUGGAACACUUCCCUAGAAAGAAAAUGAAAUUACCAUAUGAAUCUAUCAUGAGAGCCACUUCUGGAUUGCCUACCAAAGAUGGCAAUACCUAG
RNAcentral lists this ribosomal RNA (1275 nucleotides) under Triticum aestivum (bread wheat). RNAcentral's name for it is "partial small subunit ribosomal RNA". Lineage: Eukaryota; Viridiplantae; Streptophyta; Magnoliopsida; Poales; Poaceae. The record is from RNAcentral.